AAGUACUCCCUUCAUCCCAAAAUAUAAGGUAUUUUGGGUGGAUGUGACACAUUCUAGUACUACGAAUCUGGAUACGAAGCCUAGGAUGUGUCACGUCCACCCAAAAUCUUUUAUAUUUUGGGACGGAAGGGUAUUAACUA
RNAcentral lists this unclassified non-coding RNA (140 nucleotides) under Oryza sativa (Asian cultivated rice). RNAcentral describes it as "partial microRNA MIR468a-1 precursor". The record is from RNAcentral. Lineage: Eukaryota; Viridiplantae; Streptophyta; Magnoliopsida; Poales; Poaceae.